Molecule: long non-coding RNA, 894 nt
Organism: Oncorhynchus tshawytscha (Chinook salmon)
Lineage: Eukaryota; Metazoa; Chordata; Actinopteri; Salmoniformes; Salmonidae
Exons: 3
Source: RefSeq, a predicted model, not a curated record
AUUAAAGUUGGUUGUGAGAUACAGAAGAAUAAGAGGAACAUACAGAAGAAGAGAGAAUAUUUCCACAGCUCCACAAGCUCUUUUCACGAUUGGCAAAAGCAUCAUAUUUGAAAAGCUUUACAACUAUGUAUCUGGCCCGUACUUUCAUCUCAAGUGGCUUCCAGUUCAGAAAGAGCUGUAUCCACAGCAGCAGCCCAGAACUACAGAGACUUGCGGAUGUAAGGUGGGCAUGCAGAGAAACAAGGUCUGCCGAUGAAGAGGUCCCAAAGAAUGUCCCAAGAGAGUAAAUUAACAUUGUUGUAUGCCGUGGAUUAUAUGUGUACCUAUGUUAAAUUUUGUGAAAAAAAGACCAUUUCAAAUCAAAUCAAAUCUUAUUUGUCACAUACACAUGGUUGGCAGAUGUUAAUGCGGGUGUAGCGAAAUGCUUGUGCUUCUAGUUCCGACCAUGCAGUAAUAUCUAACAAGUAUCUAACAAGUAAAAGUCACACAAUGUAUAAACCGAUUACAACUGGAGCAUGCCAACCCUGCUGAGUGUGUACGCUUCUGUUCCAGCCCAGUACUAACACAUCUGAUUCAAUGUAUCAAAACAAAUUAGUUAAUAAUCAAGUGUGCUAUUGCUUGGCUGCAACAGAAGUCUGCUCACCAGUAGAUCAGUGAUCAGUGGAGCGAGAUUGGACACCUCUGGUAUUUAUUUGUUUUGUUCACCUGAAAUUAUGUUUUUAUUUAUAAUAGCCUACUUGUUACUAACAUUUUGAACUUUUACAUAUGUGUUAACUUACUUGUACACUUUGAACUUAUAUAAAAGUGUUGAUUCUUUGAAGUUAAGUGUUUAAACUUAACUUAACUAUUAUUCAAGAUUAACUAGUGUUGAUGUUUAUUAAUCACAGAUCACAA